Molecule: ribosomal RNA, 663 nt
Filed under: Triticum aestivum (bread wheat)
Lineage: Eukaryota; Viridiplantae; Streptophyta; Magnoliopsida; Poales; Poaceae
Description: partial small subunit ribosomal RNA
Source: RNAcentral
AUGCCGCCGCGGCCGGAGCCGUGCAGCUCGUCGUCGUCGCUGGGGAAGGACAGCGACGAGGGCGGCGCGCCGGCGGGGACGGAGGACGGGGAGGGGGAGGUGCAGAGCGCCUACAGCGGCGUGGGGCUCGACGGCCUCGCCGCAUUGGAGGAGUCGCUUCCCAUCCGGCGUGGCAUUUCUAAAUUCUAUAAUGGCAAGUCCAGAUCUUUCACAUUCCUCAAGGAAGCUAUCGGGCCAUCUGGUUCUGCAAAGGUCAUUGCCAAGGCAGACAAUGCUUACUCCAGGAAACGGAAAAAUCUUCUUGCAUACAGCAUCAUGUACGAUCAGUCACAGAUCACCGUUCCGGAGACCUACAAGAACGGUAUCACUAAGAGGCUUGCGGGUUUAAGCAGGUUGAGGCCCUCGGAUGGUAUGAGCUCCAACAGCAGCAGUAGCAGCAGCCUCAGCAGCGACGAAAACGAGCUGCCUCAGCAGUUCAUUUUUGUUCAGUCACCUGACAACACUGCACAAUUUGCUUCUCCGACGAUACCUGCACCUCGGCUUGGGUCUUGCGCGUCUAAGAUAUUGCCCAUGCCAAUAAGGUCGUUUUCGAUGGUGAAUCUGCAACGUUUGCACAGCCGCUGCUCAUCUGUUUGCCUGGAAAAAGAACCGGAGGCUGAUUAA